Molecule: ribosomal RNA, 1532 nt
Filed under: Candidatus Yanofskyibacteriota bacterium
Lineage: Bacteria; Candidatus Yanofskyibacteriota
Description: bacterial SSU rRNA
Rfam family: Bacterial small subunit ribosomal RNA
Source: RNAcentral
UUUUAAGAGAGUUUGAUCCUGGCUCAGGAUGAACGCUGGCGGCGUGGAUAAGGCAUGCAAGUCGAGCGAUCUAUUUCCCGCAAGGGAGAUGGGUAGCGGCGAACGAGUUAGUAAUACCUUGGUACGUACCCCGAAGUCGGGCAUAGCUCACCGAAAGGUGAGGUAAUUCCCGAUAGUAUGGAAACAUUAAAGGAGCAAUCCACUUUGGGAGCGGCCUAGGUCCUAUCAGCUUGUUGGUGAGGUAACGGCUCACCAAGGCUAUGACGGGUAGGGGGUGUGAGAGCACGGCCCCCAACGACGAGACUGAGACACGGCUCGUACACCUACGGGUGGCAGCAGUCGAGAAUAUUCGACAAUGGGCCGCAGAGCUUCUCCAGUAAUGGAGAAUAGAAAAUUCAGCUUAUAUGCUGAAACAUUUCUUGCUGUCCGCUGAAGUCCCAUUUUUUACAAUAAAAAAGUGGGCGCGGCAAGAAACAAUCAGCAGGGAAGUUGUUAUAAUUAAGGUAAUAUGGAUAGUAUUUCCAAACAGCAAAAAUCAAUUAUCAUAGGAACUUUAUUGGGCGAUGGCUACAUAUACAAAGAUAAAUAUGGGGGCUGUCGUUUAGAGAUAAAACAUUCAGAUAAACAACGAGAUUAUGUUUUUUGGCUCCAUCAAACAUUAAAAAGUAUUUGCCCGGGUGAACCAAAACAGAGGAAAGAUAACCAGCAAUGGAAAUUCAAUACCGAAUCUAAUGAUAACAUUAAAUGUCUCGGAAAUACUAAUUGAUCCUUUGAGUUUAGCAAUUUGGUAUAUGGAUGAUGGGAGUUUAGAUUUUAGACCAAAAAGUCAUUAUGCUUUUAGUUUAAAAACUAACUCUUUCACCUUAAAAGAAUGUAAUUUAUUAACCAGGGUUUUAGAUAAAAAUUUUGGUGUAAAUUCUUCUGUUCAAUAUCCAAUUUGCAGAGGUACAAGAUACCCUCAGAUUUAUAUCGGUAAGCAAGGACGAAAUCAGUUUUUAAAACUGAUAGAAUCACACAUUAUAACUUGCUUUAGAUAUAAACUGCCUAAAUUAUAAUUAACCCCCCAGAGACUUAGCCAUCUUUAUGGCUAGAUGGAUGUUUUUUUAACAUUCAUAAUACGCUGAACCCCUUCUUUAGACGAGAAGGGUGAUGAUAUAGUCCAAUAUAUUAUAGACAAUAUAACUUACGUAUUGUUAAAGGCCAGCAGCAGCGGUAAUACAGAGACCCCAAGCGUUAUCCGGAGUUACUGGGCGUAAAGCGCAAGUAGUCGGCAAUUAUAGUCUGAUGUUAAAUCUCAUGGCUUAACUGUGAGGCCGCAUUAGAAACGUAAUUGCUUGAGCGAGUCAGAGGCAAGCGGAACGUGUGGUGUAGCGGUGAAAUGCGUUGAUAUCACACGGAACACCAAAAGCGAAGGCAGCUUGCUAGGGCUUUGCUGACGAUCAGUUGCGAAAGCGUGGGCAUAAAAAAGGAUUAGAUACCCUUGUAUUCCACGCCCUAAACGAUGCAGAUUAGCUAUCGGGAGCAUCGACCCU